AUUGAACGCUGGCGGCAGGCCUAACACAUGCAAGUCGAACGAGUGGCGGACGGGUGAGUAAUGUCUGGGAAACGGCCUGAUGGAGGGGGAUAACUACUGGAAACGGUAGCUAAUACCGCAUACCAGCAGAGCUGCCCAGAUGGGAUUAGCUUGGUGGUGGGGUAACGGCUCACCAAGGCGAAGAUCCCUAGCUGGCCUGAGAGGAUGACAAGCCACACUGGAACUGAGACACGGUCCAGACCCCUACGGGAGGCAGCAGUUGGGAAUCUUGCACAAUGGGCGCAAGCCUGAUGAAGCCAUGCAGCGUGGAUGAAGAAGGCCUUCGGGUUGUAAAGUACUUUCAGCGGGGAGGCGUUACCCGCAGAAGAAGCACCGGCUAACUCCGUGCCAGCCGCCGCGGUAAUAC
RNAcentral lists this ribosomal RNA (406 nucleotides) under uncultured bacterium. Its description in RNAcentral is "partial 16S ribosomal RNA". It matches the Rfam family "Bacterial small subunit ribosomal RNA", at positions 29 to 526 of the family's 1533-position model. The record is from RNAcentral.